CCGCCGCCGCCGCCGCUGUCGCAGCAGGCCGGGCCAGGCCGCGCCUCAGGGAGGCGGGGAGAGCAGGGCCGGCCCGGCGGGUCGGCAGGGUGCCUGCCCUCAGCUUCCUUCCUCUUCCCCUUCCCCUUCUCUUUCCUUCCUUAAAACUCGAGCUGGGCUGGUUUUCAUCGCCGCAGGUCCCGAGGAGCAACCCGCGUCGCCAGCUCGCAGCAGGGCCUGUGCCCGAAGUGGUGUCGGGGGGAAUGUUUUGGGGUUGGGGUUGGGGUUGUCCCUCUCCUUGGGGCUUAUUCAGAGCAGGAAUGCAAGCCUCGUCCUCCUCCCACGGGUUUAAAACCUAAAAAACCUCCGUGGCAGGAAGAGGGAAAUAAAACCCCACACGCUUUUAGUCCGUGUCACUGCAGGGGUAUCUGAGCAACCCGUAACGUGUGCGCUGACACGGUUUCACGUGAGGUAGGAAAACACUGUUGUUUGCAUUUUUAUAAGUAAAAAACAUAAAAUAAAUUAAAAUUGAGUCACGCAGGGAAUGUGAUUUUUCACGUAGGAAUAAAAAGGAUUACAGGCUUGUAGGCCUCGAGUCUUUCUGAUCUAAUCUCUGUGCUGAGGCCGAUUCAGAUAUAUGUUGAUCAGUGUUAUUCAGACAGUUUCAAUUUGUGGACCCGUAAACAUGAAUACGAGAAGUGCUGUAUAUGCUAAGAAUUGAUCUGCUUUUGCCAUUUGUCUUUCAGGGACGUUUUAGGAGUAGUUCACAGACUCUAAGGAGGCUGUGCGACAUGGCUUGAAAAGUGGUAUCAUCCAUAAAAAGUAUUUCUCUAAUUGAUUUAUAAAAACACUUAUUUGAAGGAAAUCUACAACACUGGUAUGCAGAUCGCAACAAUGUUUAACUGCACUUGUAAAAAUGUAUUUACCUUGUAUCCCACUUUAUUCUUUUACUGCAUUCCUUGCUGCCAUCUCAAAAUGGAAAAUGACGAUAUUUUUAUACUGUUCAGGAAUAAGGGUAGUUCAUCUCAACCAGUUCUCAUCCAGCGGCUGCACCAUUGAUCUAUUGAAACCUACUGAAAUGGCUGCACAUUCUUUUUUCUUCAAUAGUACUUAGAAAUUACAGCUAAGUGUUUUCUCAGGAUACCAAGAUACAGGUACGACAGCAAUAUGAAUUGUGUAUGUGUGACAGAUGGGUAGGCAGGCAAAUAAAGACAGGAAUGUUCUCAGAGCCUAAACAAGACCCUCAAAAGUUGAUGCCAUCAUUAUGCAUAUGACGGCAAUUUGAUUUCAGUGAACCUCUCCUCAGGCUGCAGUCUGGGCAAGGGAUCACUUGCUUGAGACUCUAACAGAACUGCAGGUUGUUCACUGGAUACCAGCAACUCCUGAAGAGCAUGUGGAAAGUGAAAUCUGAGCCAUGGUUUUCUACUGUUGGUGCAAGGGAAAUGGGUAGUCUGUUCAGUUACUGGUACCUUAGAUCCAAUUCGUGGAAUAAACUACUGUGAAUGUCCAUAUCAGGGACUUUUGACAUCAUAAUGUAAUUUUUCCUUUUGUCUCUUAGAACUGUGUGUUAUGCUCAUACAUAUAUAUACAUGUAUAUGCAAUGUAUAACAAUGUGUUCCAUGUCAGUCUCUGAUUGAAAGAAAACUAAGCAGAAACUUCAACUAGUGAAUUUUAUAAUGAUGUGUUAUACAGAACAUUCAGCAAAGAAUCUGACCUCCCUUUCUGCAUGGUGCAUCUUCCAUUGCAAUGGAUGGAGAUAUUUGGGUCAUUGGCAGAAACUGUCACCAGAAUAUAUGGAAGGCUGGUGGAGACAGAGCAUUAUCAGUACAGGUACAUACAUCUUGAGAACUGCCAGUAUUUUAUU
RNAcentral lists this long non-coding RNA (1843 nucleotides) under Anas platyrhynchos (mallard). RNAcentral's name for it is "lncRNA (ENSAPLG00020014823.1)". Lineage: Eukaryota; Metazoa; Chordata; Aves; Anseriformes; Anatidae. The record is from RNAcentral.